This 114-nucleotide Y RNA is filed under the name Propithecus coquereli (Coquerel's sifaka). RNAcentral describes it as "Y RNA (ENSPCOG00000002681.1)". It matches the Rfam family "Y RNA". From Rfam's summary of the family: Y RNAs are components of the Ro ribonucleoprotein particle (Ro RNP), in association with Ro60 and La proteins. The Y RNAs and Ro60 and La proteins are well conserved, but the function of the Ro RNP is not known. Lineage: Eukaryota; Metazoa; Chordata; Mammalia; Primates; Indriidae. The record is from Rfam by way of RNAcentral.
GACUGGUCCGAAGGUAGUGAGUUAUCUCAUUAGAUUGUUCACAGUCAGUUACAGAUUGAACUCCUUGUUCUACUACUUUCCUCCCUCCUCACUACUGCACUUGACUAGUCUUAA